RNAcentral lists this ribosomal RNA (416 nucleotides) under uncultured bacterium. RNAcentral describes it as "partial 16S ribosomal RNA". It matches the Rfam family "Bacterial small subunit ribosomal RNA", at positions 361 to 774 of the family's 1533-position model. The record is from RNAcentral.
AUAUUGGUCAACGGAGGCAACUCUGAACCAGCCACGUCGCGUGAAGGAUGACGGCCCUUCGGGUUGUAAACUUCUUUUAUACAGGAAUAAUGUGAGUCAUGUGUGCCUUUUUGCAUGUACUUUAUGAAUAAGGAUCGGCUAACACCGUGCUAGCAGCAGCCGUAAUACGGAGGAUACAAGUGUUAUCCGGAUUUAUCGGGUUUAAAUGGUGCUCAGGCGGAAGAGUAAGUAGUCGGUGAAAUUUUGCAACUCAACUGUAAAAGUGCCAUCAAUACUGGUUUUCUUGAGUGUGAAUGAAGUAGGCGGAAUUUGUAGUGUAGCGGUGAUAUGCAGAGAUAUCACAAGGAACUCCGAUUGCGCAGACAGCUUACUAGGCCAUAACUGACGCUCAGGCACGAAGGCGUGGAGAUCAAACA